Molecule: ribosomal RNA, 233 nt
Filed under: uncultured bacterium
Lineage: Bacteria
Description: partial 16S ribosomal RNA
Rfam family: Bacterial small subunit ribosomal RNA
Source: RNAcentral
GAUCCUGGCUCAGGAUGAACGCUAGCUACAGGCUUAACACAUGCAAGUCGAGGGGAAACGACAUCGAAAGCUUGCUUUUGAUGGGCGUCGACCGGCGCACGGGUGAGUAACGCGUAUCCAACCUGCCCAUCACUUGGGAAUAACCUUGCGAAAGUAAGACUAAUGCCCAAUGAUAUCCCACGAAGGCAUCCGAAUGGGAUUAAAGAUUUAUCGCUGAUAGAUAGGCAUGCGUU